AGUGAACGCUGGCGGUAGGCCUAACACAUGCAAGUCGAACGGCAGCACAGUAAGAGCUUGCUCUUACGGGUGGCGAGUGGCGGACGGGUGAGGAAUACAUCGGAAUCUACUUUUUCGUGGGGGAUAACGUAGGGAAACUUACGCUAAUACCGCAUACGACCUACGGGUGAAAGCAGGGGAUCUUCGGACCUUGCGCGAUUGAAUGAGCCGAUGUCGGAUUAGCUAGUUGGCGGGGUAAAGGCCCACCAAGGCGACGAUCCGUAGCUGGUCUGAGAGGAUGAUCAGCCACACUGGAACUGAGACACGGUCCAGACUCCUACGGGAGGCAGCAGUGGGGAAUAUUGGACAAUGGGCGCAAGCCUGAUCCAGCCAUACCGCGUGGGUGAAGAAGGCCUUCGGGUUGUAAAGCCCUUUUGUUGGGAAAGAAAAGCAGCAGGUUAAUACCCCGCUGUUCUGACGGUACCCAAAGAAUUAGCACCGGCUAACUUCGU
This 491-nucleotide ribosomal RNA is filed under the name uncultured bacterium. Its description in RNAcentral is "partial 16S ribosomal RNA". It matches the Rfam family "Bacterial small subunit ribosomal RNA", at positions 29 to 506 of the family's 1533-position model. The record is from RNAcentral.